CUGUCUGAACAUGGGGGGGACCACCCUCCAAGCCUAAAUACUCCCUGGUGACCGAUAGCGAACAAGUACCGUGAGGGAAAGGUGAAAAGCACCCCGAAAGGGGAGUGAAAAAGACCUGAAACCGGAUGCCUACAAGCAGUCGGAGCCCCUUCUGGGGUGACGGCGUACCUUUUGUAUAAUGGGUCAGCGAGUUUCUGUUCGCGGCAAGCUUAAGCCGAUAGGCGAAGGCGCAGCGAAAGCGAGUCUGAACAGGGCGUUCAGUCGCGGGCAGAAGACCCGAAACCGAGUGAUCUAGCCAUGGCCAGGUUGAAGGUGGGGUAACACCCACUGGAGGACCGAACUCACGCCUGUUGAAAAAGUCGGAGAUGAGCUGUGGCUAGGGGUGAAAGGCCAAUCAAACUCGGAAAUAGCUGGUUCUCCGCGAAAUCUAUUGAGGUAGAUCGUCGGAUGUUUACCCUCGGGGGUAGAGCACUGGAUGGGCUAGGGGGACCCAAAGUCUUACCAAACCUAACCAAACUCCGAAUACCGAGAAGUAUAGUCCGGCAGACAGACGGCGGGUGCUAAGGUCCG
RNAcentral lists this ribosomal RNA (570 nucleotides) under uncultured bacterium. Its description in RNAcentral is "bacterial LSU rRNA". It matches the Rfam family "Bacterial large subunit ribosomal RNA", at positions 434 to 1007 of the family's 2925-position model. The record is from RNAcentral.